This 202-nucleotide ribosomal RNA is filed under the name Staphylococcus aureus. RNAcentral describes it as "partial 16S ribosomal RNA". It matches the Rfam family "Bacterial small subunit ribosomal RNA", at positions 1033 to 1236 of the family's 1533-position model. The record is from RNAcentral. Lineage: Bacteria; Bacillati; Bacillota; Bacilli; Caryophanales; Staphylococcaceae. RNAcentral also lists the same sequence under 3 other names.
GACAGGUGGUGCAUGGUUGUCGUCAGCUCGUGUCGUGAGAUGUUGGGUUAAGUCCCGCAACGAGCGCAACCCUUAAGCUUAGUUGCCAUCAUUAAGUUGGGCACUCUAAGUUGACUGCCGGUGACAAACCGGAGGAAGGUGGGGAUGACGUCAAAUCAUCAUGCCCCUUAUGAUUUGGGCUACACACGUGCUACAAUGGACA